This 368-nucleotide ribosomal RNA is filed under the name Blautia wexlerae. Its description in RNAcentral is "partial 23S ribosomal RNA". It matches the Rfam family "Bacterial large subunit ribosomal RNA", at positions 324 to 693 of the family's 2925-position model. The record is from RNAcentral. Lineage: Bacteria; Bacillati; Bacillota; Clostridia; Lachnospirales; Lachnospiraceae.
UGAAGCUAACAGAACGGUUUUGGGAAAGCCGGCCGGAGAGGGUGAAAGCCCCGUACGUGAAAGCUGAUGAGACUGAGCAGGAUCCAGAGUACCACGAGACACGUGGAACCUUGUGGGAAAUCAGGGGGACCACCCCCUAAGGCUAAAUACUACUUAGUGACCGAUAGCGCAUAGUACUGUGAAGGAAAGGUGAAAAGGACCCCGGGAGGGGAGUGAAAGAGAACCUGAAACCCUGUGUCUACAAGCUGUGGAAGCACUUUAUAUGUGCGACCGCGUACUUUUUGUAGAACGGUCCGGCGAGUUACGCUUACUGGCAAGGUUAAGCACUUCAGGUGUGGAGCCGUAGGGAAACCAAGUCUUAAGAGGGC